AAGAGCAAGUAACGUCUAAAUUAACUUUUUUUUGCUGAUGAACUGUAUAAAUGAGUGUCUAAUAGUGUUUUAAAUGUGUGCAUUCUUUAUUUUAGCAUUUUGGUGCAUUUUCUUUAAAAAUUAAAAAUUCUGUCUAAAAACCACAGUAAUGCGCCACCUUCAGCUGAAAACAUAGAAUUUGAGUCAUUUUGAAUAAAUUUUAGCCAAUGGCUAAAGAGUAAAGUACUACGUAAACCAGUAGAGUACUACGUAGCAGCUCCGUGCCAAAGUUAUAAAAGCAACGAGCGUCUCGGCCACGCCCUGUGGCGAGUGGGAGUUGGAUUUGCAAGCGAGUGUAGGAGGUCAGCAGUAGUUCAGCAUUAGCAUAUAGCAUUAGCAUAUCCUAGUCUUUAGCAUAUCUUUUAGUGUUAUAAAUACUUAUUUAGUGUUAGCUUGGCUGUUGUAUAUUGUAGUUUAGUUAGUGUUUGGCUGUUAGUGUAAUUGGGAAAGUAUUUCGGGUUUAGUGUUCCAUAUCGUCUUAGUAUUGGUGAGUAGGUGUAGUGUAGUAUGGUUGCGGUGACUCUGUGGGCAUUUUACCCGCGAUUCUGCACGCCUCCGUUUGAAGAGGGAGGCUGCCCACCGUGGCUCUUCCGCGAUUUAGAUGCAGCCCACCGACUCUGCUCCCCCACCACGGCGGGCUCCAGUCUGAGGUGAGUCAGCUAAAUAAACGUUUUAACAUCUUCUAAAGACAAUUCCCUACCUAAAUGCAAAGUCUGAGAGACGUGGUUCACUUCCUUUAGCUAGUCAGUCGGCAAUUCUGCAACAGUGUCUCUAACUAACGCAGCACUAGUUGACAGCAUUACAGCGUGAAAUCCAGCUUGUGACCCGGUUCUGUGAGGAAUUCUGUUCAGGAGGUCGCAUUUCAGGCUCUCCACAUCAUAUGUGACUGACUUUUACGUUAUAACAACGAUCACACACUAGGAAUGUUAUAAAGCGCCUAUAUAGGAGAUUCUUUUGUAUAUUAUCUGACUUUAUAAACUCCCAACAACAAUGUGCUUCUAUUUUUUUUUUCAGGCUAAAUCUACCCAAGACACUGGCUGUCAGACUGAUUUAGCUGCAAGAAUGCACUUGUCCAGGCUGACGUGAAGUCUUACCUGUAGCAAAGCCAGCCAGAAUGGAGUUCACAGCCGCAGUGUGUCUGGUGACCCACAGGGACCAUGAUGAAAAUUCAUCUUCCAGAAGGUCCCAGAGCGUCCAGACCCCCUGAAAAGACCAAGAUGUAAGGUGUCUGCUGUUGAUUCCAGCUUCCACCUCAGUGACAGUGCAAGCUCAGUGAACUGUUCAAGCCUGGCUGAUCACCUGAUAACUCCUGUCAUCUGGUUAUGACAGCAUGAGGAUGUCCUCACACACCUGUAACCUAUCAGAUCAUCUGGCAGAAUAGAGAGAGAAGAGACAACACCACAUCUCCUGUUCCUGGAAAGCCUUCAGCCAUCCUUCGAUGACUGAGAACCUCCAUCAGCUCUGUCUCCUGUCUGCCUACAAUUAUUAUAAUAAAUAUUGUGUUUGACAAGUUUUUUGUGCUGCCAAAUAUCUCAUUUAGAUUCCAGUUUUGAUAUUUUAAUGGAUAUUUAUAAAUUACAUUGAAUAUCACAUUUUUGUUGCAUGUUUAACUAGCU
Molecule: non-coding RNA, 1655 nt
Organism: Nothobranchius furzeri (turquoise killifish)
Lineage: Eukaryota; Metazoa; Chordata; Actinopteri; Cyprinodontiformes; Nothobranchiidae
Source: RefSeq, a predicted model, not a curated record